GCGCUCGUGGUGGAACAGGCAUACACGCCGGCCUCAGGUGCCGGUGCCCCGCAAGGGGUGUGGGGGUUCGAAGCCCUCCGAGCGCACGA
Molecule: transfer RNA, 89 nt
Filed under: Micromonospora siamensis
Lineage: Bacteria; Bacillati; Actinomycetota; Actinomycetes; Micromonosporales; Micromonosporaceae
Description: tRNA_Leu_CAG
Rfam family: tRNA
About the family: Transfer RNA (tRNA) molecules are approximately 80 nucleotides in length. Their secondary structure includes four short double-helical elements and three loops (D, anti-codon, and T loops).
Source: RNAcentral